This 64-nucleotide transfer RNA is filed under the name bovine gut metagenome. It matches the Rfam family "tRNA", at positions 7 to 64 of the family's 71-position model. From Rfam's summary of the family: Transfer RNA (tRNA) molecules are approximately 80 nucleotides in length. Their secondary structure includes four short double-helical elements and three loops (D, anti-codon, and T loops). Further hydrogen bonds mediate the characteristic L-shaped molecular structure. tRNAs have two regions of fundamental functional importance: the anti-codon, which is responsible for specific mRNA codon recognition, and the 3' end, to which the tRNAs corresponding amino acid is attached (by aminoacyl-tRNA synthetases). tRNAs cope with the degeneracy of the genetic code in two manners: having more than one tRNA (with a specific anti-codon) for a particular amino acid; and 'wobble' base-pairing, i.e. permitting non-standard base-pairing at the 3rd anti-codon position. The record is from RNAcentral.
CGGAAUAGCUCAGUUGGUAGAGCGACGCACUCGUAAUGCGUAGGUCUCGGGUUCGAGUCCCGAU